UACAGAGGGGGCAAGCGUUAUUCGGAAUUAUUGGGCGUAAAGGGCGCGUAGGCGGCUUGGCAAGUGGAUGGUGAAAUCCCUCAGCUUAACUGGGGAACUGCGUGUGAUACUGGAUGGCUUGGAUUUGGGAGAGGGAUGCGGAAUUCCAGGUGUAGCGGUGAAAUGCGUAGAUAUCUGGAGGAACACCGGUGGCGAAGGCGGGUUGCUGGGCUGAUACUGACGCUGAGGCGCGAAAGCCAGGGGAGCGAACGGG
This 253-nucleotide ribosomal RNA is filed under the name uncultured bacterium. Its description in RNAcentral is "partial 16S ribosomal RNA". It matches the Rfam family "Bacterial small subunit ribosomal RNA", at positions 524 to 776 of the family's 1533-position model. The record is from RNAcentral.